Molecule: long non-coding RNA, 291 nt
Organism: Alosa alosa (allis shad)
Lineage: Eukaryota; Metazoa; Chordata; Actinopteri; Clupeiformes; Clupeidae
Exons: 3
Source: RefSeq, a predicted model, not a curated record
GUGGAAUUUUCUAAAUGUUCUCUCAUUUGCGAUGCUAGGCUACUUCAGAAGCCAUCCCAGGAGCAUUAAUCCCCCGGUUUCAGCUGUAGCUACUCUUAAGAUUAUACUAAGCACUGUAACACCUGCUUUCUCAUACACCACAUCUUGUGGUAAUCAACGAGAAGUCCAGCGAGGUGUUCACUUUGGAGGUAUGCUGCACCUUUGAGGCUUUUGACACCAAGGUCAUUACCACACCUAAACACCAUCUCAGAGCAAGGCUAUAGGGGCAGACUGCUUGUUUUCAUAUUCAGC